GCCAGAAAUGAGCAUGGAGGGAAAUACUCUGUUACUGUGACUUUAAAUGUCCAGUAUCCUCCCAGGAACGUCUCAGUGUCUGUCACUGAUUCUGGUCAGCUUUGGUUUGAUUCAGUGAGUCUGAGCUGCAUCAGUGACUCAAACCCUCCUGCUCUGAACUUCAGCUGGUUUAAGGAGAAUCAAAGCUCUGCUGUUGGAUCUGGACAGAGUUUCAGUGCAGUACAGAGUGGACGCUUCUACUGUGAGGCUCACAAUCCACAUGGAGCUCAGAGAUCAGACGCCGUCACUGUCACUGUUCAACAACAUGCUGAGAGAAACAUCAUCAUCAUCACAGCGACAUCUGGAGGAUU
Danio aesculapii is the source of this 350-nucleotide long non-coding RNA. RefSeq lists it as uncharacterized. The record is from RefSeq and is a predicted model, not a curated record. Lineage: Eukaryota; Metazoa; Chordata; Actinopteri; Cypriniformes; Danionidae. The transcript has 3 exons.